UNUCCAGGUUUAAAAGCUAUGAUACUAGC
This 29-nucleotide non-coding RNA is filed under the name Mus musculus (house mouse). The record is from RNAcentral. Lineage: Eukaryota; Metazoa; Chordata; Mammalia; Rodentia; Muridae.